RNAcentral lists this ribosomal RNA (484 nucleotides) under uncultured bacterium. RNAcentral's name for it is "partial 16S ribosomal RNA". It matches the Rfam family "Bacterial small subunit ribosomal RNA", at positions 30 to 507 of the family's 1533-position model. The record is from RNAcentral.
AUUGAACGCUGGCGGAAUGCUUUACACAUGCAAGUCGAACGGCAGCACGGGGGCAACCCUGGUGGCGAGUGGCGAACGGGUGAGUAAUACAUCGGAACGUGCCCGGUCGUGGGGGAUAACGUAGCGAAAGUUACGCUAAUACCGCAUACGAUCUGAGGAUGAAAGCGGGGGACCUUCGGGCCUCGCGCGAUCGGAGCGGCCGAUGUCAGAUUAGGUAGUUGGUGGGGUAAAGGCCUACCAAGCCGACGAUCUGUAGCUGGUCUGAGAGGACGACCAGCCACACUGGGACUGAGACACGGCCCAGACUCCUACGGGAGGCAGCAGUGGGGAAUUUUGGACAAUGGGCGCAAGCCUGAUCCAGCCAUUCCGCGUGCAGGACGAAGGCCUUCGGGUUGUAAACUACUUUUGUAUGGAACGAAAAGGCUCUGGCUAAUACCUGGGGCUCAUGACGGUACCGUAAGAAUAAGCACCGGCUAACUACGUG